This 435-nucleotide long non-coding RNA is filed under the name Salvator merianae (Argentine black and white tegu). RNAcentral's name for it is "lncRNA (ENSSMRG00000004515.1)". The record is from RNAcentral. Lineage: Eukaryota; Metazoa; Chordata; Lepidosauria; Squamata; Teiidae.
GCAGUCUUGUCUCCACAGCAUCCAUUCAGGGAGUUCUUGCUUUCAAAUUCACCUUCCAUUAUGGAGCUUCUGAUUGCCUAAACAUGAUAAAAAGUCUGACUGAAGCAGACAUCCUGAGAGAAGGUGCCAACCUUCAGGAGUACCCCACGGCAUCCAUCUACACCUACGGGCACCCUGCUGCGCCGCAGACGCCCCGUUCCUUCAACACGCUGCCGCUGUGGCCCCCGCCAUACCCUGGUCCGCCAGACCUCCCGCCCCCCUAUUCGGAAGUGGAGGACUUGGCUCCGAGAGGAGACAGGGGCUCAGGCAAGUGCAGGGGGCCCUCGUGAGCUCUGGUGCCCCGGGCAGCCGCCUGUCCCUAGCGCUUGAAUAAGACGCCCCGGUGCCAACCAGACCUGAGGUGGGUUCCGCGGGCAGUCGCCACCUAGCAGCAUU